CCUGCCACCUAUCCUCAAAGAUCCAUGGAGCCAAAAAAAUAAAGACUAUUUUUUCUCGAGCAACUGGGGUGGAAUUUUGCAACGCUCCAAGAUUCCCUUAAGACUUUAAAAGAGUCCAGUCGACAGAACAUGUUUAUCAUAGAGGAGGGCAGUAGUCUCUGAGGUUCAAAUUUAAGGCAAAGUUGAACACGAUUGCUGUAAUUUCCCAAUGAAAAGCAAUAUUAAUGCAUCCAACUAAUUGGUCAUUGCACGCACCAUAAAUGGGAAGUCAGCUGACUUCCGAUCUUAUUCCUCUGGUCAGCACAUCAAUAUCUUUGUUAUCAUACUUUUUAGCUACAGGUAGCAACACAUUGUUAAUUUUUUGAAGAAAACACUCCACUAAUUUUUUGGAUAUCAUUAUCAUUAAUUUGCAAAUAUGAAAAUGAAGCACAGCUCAAGUUAUUCCAAAAUUAGUGAAGUAUUAAAAUUCAGACUAUAUUGAUAAGAUUUUUCAUUACUAGACUAUCAUAUCUGACUCAAUACUUUGAUAGUCCUAUUAAUUUGUUUGCAAACCAUUUGCGGCUAAGAAUUUUGGAGUCACUGAUUUU
This 587-nucleotide long non-coding RNA is filed under the name Phoenix dactylifera (date palm). Its description in RNAcentral is "long non-coding RNA (PDAC_LNC021186)". Lineage: Eukaryota; Viridiplantae; Streptophyta; Magnoliopsida; Arecales; Arecaceae. The record is from RNAcentral.